This 380-nucleotide ribosomal RNA is filed under the name uncultured eukaryote. RNAcentral's name for it is "partial 18S ribosomal RNA". It matches the Rfam family "Eukaryotic small subunit ribosomal RNA", at positions 592 to 976 of the family's 1831-position model. The record is from RNAcentral.
CAAUAGCGUAUAUUAAAGUUGUUGCGGUUAAAAAGCUCGUAGUUGGAUUUCUGCCGAGGACGACCGGUCCGCCCUCUGGGUGUGUAUCUGGUUUGGCCUGGGCAUCUUCUUGGAGAACGUAGCUGCACUUGACUGUGUGGUGCGGUGUCCAGGACUUUUACUUUGAGGAAAUUAGAGUGUUUCAAGCAGGCACACGCCUUGAAUACAUUAGCAUGGAAUAAUAAGAUAGGACCUCGGUUCUAUUUUGUUGGUUUCUAGAGCUGAGGUAAUGAUUAAUAGGGAUAGUUGGGGGCAUUCGUAUUUAACUGUCAGAGGUGGAAUUCUUGGAUUUGUUAAAGACGGACUACUGCGAAAGCAUUUGCCAAGGAUGUUUUCAUUGA